AGUGAACGCUGGCGGCGUGCUUAACACAUGCAAGUCGAACGAGAACGGGAUAUAGCUUGCUAUAUUUGUCAGCUAAGUGGCGCACGGGUGAGUAAUGUAUAGGUAAUAUGCCUCUUACUAAGGGAUAACAAUUGGAAACGAUUGCUAAUACCUUAUAUGCCUUUAAGACUAAAGUCUGCAAGGGAAAGAUUUAUUGGUAAGAGAUUAGCCUGUAUUGUAUCAGCUAGUUGGUGAGGUAAUGGCUCACCAAGGCUAUGACGCAUAACUGGUUUGAGAGGAUGAUCAGUCACACUGGAACUGAGACACGGUCCAGACUCCUACGGGAGGCAGCAGUGGGGAAUAUUGCACAAUGGACGAAAGUCUGAUGCAGCAACGCCGCGUGGAGGAUGACACAUUUCGGUGCGUAAACUCCUUUUAUAUAGGAAGAUAAUGACGGUACUAUAUGAAUAAGCACCGGCUAACUCCGUGCCAGCCGCCGCGGUAA
RNAcentral lists this ribosomal RNA (484 nucleotides) under uncultured bacterium. Its description in RNAcentral is "partial 16S ribosomal RNA". It matches the Rfam family "Bacterial small subunit ribosomal RNA", at positions 29 to 523 of the family's 1533-position model. The record is from RNAcentral.